RNAcentral lists this ribosomal RNA (426 nucleotides) under uncultured bacterium. RNAcentral describes it as "partial 16S ribosomal RNA". It matches the Rfam family "Bacterial small subunit ribosomal RNA", at positions 355 to 774 of the family's 1533-position model. The record is from RNAcentral.
UGGGGAAUAUUGGACAAUGGGCGAAAGCCUGAUCCAGCCAUGCCGCGUGUGUGAAGAAGGUCUUCGGAUUGUAAAGCACUUUAAGUUGGGAGGAAGGGCAUUAACCUAAUACGUUAGUGUUUUGACGUUACCGACAGAAUAAGCACCGGCUAACUCUGUGCCAGCAGCCGCGGUAAUACAGAGGGUGCAAGCGUUAAUGGAAUUACUGGGCGUAAAGCGCGCGUAGGUGGUUGGUUAAUGUGGAUGUGAAAUCCCCGGGCUCAACCUGGGAACUGCAUUCAAAACUGACUGAAUAGAGUAUGGUAGAGGGUGGUGGAAUUUCCUGUGUAGCGGUGAAAUGCGUAGAUAUAGGAAGGAACACCAGUGGCGAAGGCGACCACCUGGACUAAUACUGACACUGAGGUGCGAAAGCGUGGGGAGCAAACA